RNAcentral lists this long non-coding RNA (922 nucleotides) under Mytilus galloprovincialis (Mediterranean mussel). Lineage: Eukaryota; Metazoa; Mollusca; Bivalvia; Mytilida; Mytilidae. The record is from RNAcentral.
CAGAAUUUUUGUUUAAGGCAAGAAUCAGAGUCAAUUUUUCUCUCUCAAAUAUCUAAGACUGUCUCCUCAAAUCAAAUGGUUCGUACCUGAGACUUGAAAUUUUCUUAUAGAGCUUAUACUAAAAUUGAGAAUGGAAAUGGGGAAUGUGUCAAAGAGACAACAACCCGACCACAAAAAAACAACAGCAGAAGGUCACGAACAGGUGUUCAAUGUAGCGAGAAAUUUCCGCACCUGGAGGCGUCCUUCAGCUGGUCCCUUAACAAAUAUAGUUCAGUGAUAAUGAACGCCAUACUAAUUUCCAAAUUGUACACAAGAAACUAAAAAUAAAAUAAUACAAGACUUACAAAGUCUAGAGGCUCCUGACUUGGAACAAGCGCAAAAAUGAGGCGGGGUGACAGGGGUUCUUUAUUCAAUUUGUUAUUUAUAAAAUAAGCUGGUGCAUUUGGGGUUAAACAUGUUUUCGUAGGUAAAUAAUAUUGUGGAAUUUCUUUUUCUUGAGGGUGCAAUAGUCUAUAGAGUAUUUACUAUUACUUUCUGUUUGGUGGAAUAGUGAAAUAGAAGUCAAUACGUUCUUGCUCAAUCCUGUGUUGCUUUGAAGGUUUCCUGAUUGUCAUGACAUCCUCAGCCUAAGCAAUGUUUAUUACUGUAAUUUUAAUUUCAAAAUGACCGUCGUGUGCCGUUUUUUCAACGCACUGGUCAACUCCACCAUAGCAAAUCACAUGACUUUGACAAUCAGUAAAUACCACCGAAAAAUAUCUUUAUAUUAAGUAAAGAAUUGUCGUAUAAAAAUUAAAUACUCGGGAAAUGGCAAAGUUCACGAAGUCUAGUCUGAUAAAAUAAUUUUACAAAAAAAAAAAAAAAAAGUCCGAGCAAAGGGGGGGCGUACGCCCUCUACGCCCCCCCCCUGAAUCCGCCACUGGAA